This 20-nucleotide small RNA is filed under the name Arabidopsis thaliana (thale cress). Its description in RNAcentral is "ATSL306000". The record is from RNAcentral. Lineage: Eukaryota; Viridiplantae; Streptophyta; Magnoliopsida; Brassicales; Brassicaceae.
AUAAAGAAGAAGGAACAAAA